UAUGUAGGGGGCUAGCGUUGUCCGGAAUCAUUGGGCGUAAAGCGCGUGUAGGCGGUCCGGUAAGUCCGCUGUGAAAGUCGAGGGCUCAACCCUCGAAUGCCGGUGGAUACUGUCGGGCUUGAGUACGGGAGAGGCGAGUGGAAUUCCUGGUGUAGCGGUGAAAUGCGCAGAUAUCAGGAGGAACACCGAUUGCGAAGGCAGCUCGCUGGAACGUUACUGACGCUGAGACGCGAAAGCGUGGGGAGCAAACAGG
RNAcentral lists this ribosomal RNA (253 nucleotides) under uncultured bacterium. RNAcentral describes it as "partial 16S ribosomal RNA". It matches the Rfam family "Bacterial small subunit ribosomal RNA", at positions 524 to 776 of the family's 1533-position model. The record is from RNAcentral.